UACGAGGGGUCCAAGCGUUGUUCGGAAUUACUGGGCGUAAAGCGGGUGUAGGCGGCCAUGCAAGUCGAAUGUGAAAGCCCAGGGCUUAACCCUGGAUGUGCAUCCGAUACUGCGUGGCUUGAGUACUGGAGAGGGAAGUGGAAUUCCUGGUGCAGCGGUGAAAUGCGUAGAUAUCAGGAGGAACAUCGGUGGCGAAGGCGGCUUCCUGGCCAUGUACUGACGCUCAGGCCCGAAAGCGUGGGUAGCAAACAGG
This 253-nucleotide unclassified non-coding RNA is filed under the name uncultured Pseudobdellovibrionaceae bacterium. Its description in RNAcentral is "uncultured Bdellovibrionaceae bacterium contains 16S-23S intergenic spacer region". It matches the Rfam family "Bacterial small subunit ribosomal RNA", at positions 524 to 776 of the family's 1533-position model. The record is from RNAcentral. Lineage: Bacteria; Pseudomonadati; Bdellovibrionota; Bdellovibrionia; Bdellovibrionales; Pseudobdellovibrionaceae.